RNAcentral lists this ribosomal RNA (405 nucleotides) under uncultured bacterium. RNAcentral describes it as "partial 16S ribosomal RNA". It matches the Rfam family "Bacterial small subunit ribosomal RNA", at positions 28 to 526 of the family's 1533-position model. The record is from RNAcentral.
AUUGAACGCUGGCGGCGUGCUUAACACAUGCAAGUCGAGCGGAGCGGCGAACGGGUGAGUAACGCGUGAGUAACUGCCCCCCUCCCUGGGAUAACAGUUGGAAACGGCUGCUGAUACCGGAUAGUGGGGGAUGACUCGCGUCCUAUCAGCUUGUUGGUGGGGUAGUGGCCUACCAAGGCGACGACGGGUAGCCGGCCUGAGCUGGCGACCGGCCGCAUUGGGCUGAGAUACGGCCCAGACUCCUACGGGAGGCAGCAGUGGUGAGUAUUGCACAAUGGUGGAAACCCUGAUGCAGUAGCGCCGCGUUCGGGAUGACGGCCUUCGGGUUGUAAACCGCUUUCAGCCAUGACGCGGUAGUGGCAGAAGAAGCACCGGCUAACUACGUGCCAGCAGCCGCGGUAAUAC